CUACUUACCUGGCAGGGGAGACACCAGGAUCAGAAAGGUGGUUUUCCCAGGGCAAGGCUCAUCCAUUGCACUCCAGGUGUGCUGACCCCUGCGAUUUUCCCAAAUGCGGGGAAACCCAACUGCAUAAUUUGUGGUAGUGGGGGACUGCGUGUUUGAGCUCUUCCCUG
RNAcentral lists this small nuclear RNA (167 nucleotides) under Echinops telfairi (small Madagascar hedgehog). Its description in RNAcentral is "U1 spliceosomal RNA (ENSETEG00000023216.1)". It matches the Rfam family "U1 spliceosomal RNA". From Rfam's summary of the family: U1 is a small nuclear RNA (snRNA) component of the spliceosome (involved in pre-mRNA splicing). Its 5' end forms complementary base pairs with the 5' splice junction, thus defining the 5' donor site of an intron. The record is from RNAcentral. Lineage: Eukaryota; Metazoa; Chordata; Mammalia; Afrosoricida; Tenrecidae.